AUGCUCACAGACUUGCUUCUCGAGGUGCACCUACUCCUUGAGAUUCCGGAUCGCAUAAUCUGGAAGUGGACGCCGACUGAGGUAUAUUCUGCGAGCUCAGCUUACUAGGUGUUCUUUGCUGGCCUCGAGAGGUUCCCAAGCGGUCGGGCCCUUUGGAAGACUUGGGCCCCGACCAAGUGCAAGCUUCACUUCUGGCUAGCGAUGAGGCGUCAGAUUUGGACGGCAGACAGACGCCUUCGACAGGGCCUCCAGUUCCAUGUCAUGUGCCCAUUAUGCGAGCAGGAGGCUGAGACUGCAGACCACCUAGCACUGGGUUGUGUGUUUUCCAGGGAGGUGUGGCACUCUACCCUCGCAUGGUGCGACCUCGGCCAAUUGGUGCCCACCAUGGAUGCAACUCUCAUAGAGUGGUGGCCAGCCAGUCGUGCGAUGAUCCCGAAGGAGCGGAGGAAGGGUUUUGAUUCCCUUGCCCUCCUCAUCAUCUGGAUGCUAUGGAAGGAGCGUAAUAGUUGUGUCUGUGGCGUCCUGGGACUGGGGGUCCCCAGACUUGCCUGCCUGCGGCCCGCGGCGUGGCUGAGCCAGCAGGCCGUACGACCCAUCUUCAUCAACAAGGCAUCCAAGACCCUCGUGAGGGUCCAAGCCUCGCGAGGCGGACGAGCGGCCUAG
This 663-nucleotide ribosomal RNA is filed under the name Triticum aestivum (bread wheat). RNAcentral's name for it is "partial small subunit ribosomal RNA". Lineage: Eukaryota; Viridiplantae; Streptophyta; Magnoliopsida; Poales; Poaceae. The record is from RNAcentral.